Non-coding RNA from Vicugna pacos (alpaca), 4531 nucleotides. NCBI's taxonomy places the organism in Eukaryota, Metazoa, Chordata, Mammalia, Artiodactyla, Camelidae. The record is from RefSeq and is a predicted model, not a curated record.
GGAACGCGGGCGCCCCGAGGUGAGGCCGCGGCGUUGACCUGGGAGGGGUUGGGUGUUAGGGUCGGAGAUCUCGAGCGCGAACGGCUUCCUCGGAACCGGUGGCGGCCGAGCGCAGCCCUGGUGGAGUGGGACGCGGCUCGGGGACCUGACUUGGGAGCUCUCUGGGGUCGAGGAGGAGUCUGUUGUGGCCACUGCAGGAGCAGCCCCUGGCCACAUGUGUCUGUUGAGCUCCUGUAAUAUGACUUCCUGAAUUGCGAUGUGCUGACUACAAAUGCACGCUGGAUUUUGAAGGCUUAAUAUGAAAAAAAAGAUGGCUGUGAUAAAAAAAAAAGAAUAACAAAUAUUGGCAGGCUUGUGGAGAAACUGGAACAUCCAUGCAGAUGGUGCAGUCACUUUGAGAAAAAAGUUGAAAGGUUACCAUUGAGCUACCACAUGGCCCAGUAAUUCCGCUCCUAGGUGACUGAAGCUUGCAGAGGGGAUGCCACCUGUCCAGGUGCCUGGAACGGGUGGCAGGUCGAAUGAUGGCUCCCCAAAGAGAUGUUCGCAUCCAUGUCCCCAGAACCUGUGAAUGUGGCCUCAAUUGGAAAUAGAGUCUUGCAGCUGUAAGCAAGCUGAAGAGCAUCUGGUUGUCUCCAGUUUGGGAUGACUAGGAAUCAUGCUGCCGUGGACACGUGUGUGCAGGCUCUUGUGUGGACAGAAGACUUAAUUCCUUUUGGGUUAAUACCCAGCAGUCGAGCAGCUCCAUCACCCGGCAACCCUAUGUUGAGUAUUUUGAGGAACCGCCAAGCUGUCUUCAGUGGCCACAUCCCCACCAGCAACAUCUGAGGAUUCCCGGUGCUCUGUGCGCUCACCAGCACUUGGAUUUGUCCAUUGUUUUUGGUUCUAGUUUUGCCAUUCAGAUAGGUGGCACAUUAUAUUUAGAUGCAGCAAAACACACGCGUGCUCACAUGCACGCACGUGCGCUAAAAUGCACCCCCCUGGAGGAAAAGGCGGAUGUUCAGAUACGCGCUAAACAAAGAGUAAAAUGUUAAUCAUGGGAACUUGGUAUUGGGUCUUUAACCACCAAAUCCUUCCAGCUCUUCAAUGCAUUUGAAUAUAUUCAUAAUAAAAGGUUGGAAAAAAUAAUCCAAGGGUGGACUAGAGAUAAAACAAGACGAGCGUGGGGCUGGUACUGGUUGAGGCUUGGGGAAGAGGUGGCAGGGCUUGGAGAGGCUGUUCCACUUUCUUCUGUUCCAUGUGUUGGAGAUACUCUGUGAUAGAGUCAGAAAACAGUCAUGCGGCUCCGCCAGCAGUCACAGUCGCUGCACGAGCCCGGAGGCCUGCCGUCAGGCAGCCACCAGGAGACAUGGGGAUACACGUCUACACGGAGACCCACACACACGUCCACAGCAGCCAAAAGGUGGACACAAACCUAGUGUCCAUCCACGGACACAUGUGUCCCUCCACACGUGGGAGCAUCACUCAGCCGUGAACAGGAGAGCAGCCCUGACACCCGCUCCCACGGGGCCGGACCCUGAGAACACGGUGCUCAGGGAGAGAAGCAGACACAGAAGGACACACAGUGUGUGACUCCACUCACAGGAGGUCCCUACAGUUAGAAUGGUGAAUUUUGUUAUGUGUUAUGUCCUUUAAUGUUACGUUACCCUGGAAUUUUUCUAACAAUGAGGAAGUCCAGGAAACAGGCUGGGGUCUUGGUGGGAUCAAACGGUCAGUCCCCCCACAGGCAGUGUGGCCACGUCUUCUGAAAUGACGAAGGGCUGGAUCGCUGCCAGGGGUUGCUCCGUGACUACUUGCCCAUGUCGGGGACCACGUGGCUGCCCCUGGCACGGGAAGCCAGGCGGAAACACCCUGGGAGUGCCCUAGAGAAGGGAGUAAGCCAACCGCAGCACAUCCCAACCACGGAAUACCGUGCAGUCCCGCGAAAGAACAGGCGCCCCAUAUGAGCUUGUGUGCCGUGAACUCGGGCAGACGUGAGGUGCAAAGGCAGGAGGUUCACAUGCUGCAGCCUGGGUGGCAAGCAGGAUGGGAGUGGGGGGUCGGUCGGCAGAGACUCCUCUGGAAGGAUGCCCUGGGGAACUGUGGGAGGGAGAUGUUACUCUGGGCACAUAGACAUAACAUAAAAUUGACUGUCUUAACCGUUUGUAAGUGCACAGCUCAGUGGCAUUAAGCACAUUCACACUGGUGUGCAACCAUCCCCACUACCAUCUCCAGAAUUUUCUCAUCUUCCCAAACUGAAAGUCUGUCUCCAUGAAACACUGACUCCCCAGCCCCAGCCCCACCAUCUACUCUCAGUGUCUAUGGAUGUGACUCCUCCAGGGACCUCCUGUGAGUGGAAUCAGACAGUGUGUGUCCUUCUGGGUCUGGUUCUCUCCCUGAGCAUCAUGUCCCCAACAUGGUCCACCCACGUUGGAGCAGGUGCCAGAAUCUCCUUCUUCUUCAGGCUGAGUAGCAUUCCACCAUGUGGAUGGACCACAUUUGUUUAUCCACCGUCUGUCGAUGGACAUGUGGGUCAUUUCCACCGUUGGCUACUGUGAAUAUGAUACUGUGAAUGUCCACGCGUGGGGAGGCAGGUACUUGAUCGGGUCUCGGCUUCCAGGUCUUGUGUGCACACCUGGGAGUCGAGCUGCUGGGACAGGUGGGGAUUCUGUAUAACUUUUGUAGGAGCUUCCAGGCCCUUCCGUGGCAGCCACCCUCUGGCUGUACUUUUGACUUUUUAGUUUUAAAGAAGGGAAGGAACUAAAUUUAAGUCAUCACAGAGAAACAAAUCAGCAAGUUUUAGACCGUGGGAAACUUAACAGGAAAAACGACCAGGUUUCAUGAAAAAUGAAAAAAAAAAAAAAGCAAAGAACAAAAAUCCCCACCAAACCACAGGAAAAAAAAUUAGAGAGAGACUUGAAGCUGGAAAUGAAGACACAAGUGACAUCGGUUACACUUUCUCAAUUCAUCCGUCCAUCACUGGGCCCGUGGGCCACCAGGCUGGACUGGGUGAUGAGGGUCAGCGUCAGCUGGGACACCGUGGGCACCAGAAACCCUCGAGUGAGUGAGUGCGUGCGGCGACGAAGGGGAGAAAGCUUCCCAGUGCCGUGUGUGUCUGCUCCGGACCCCUCAGGACCCUGGGUUCCCACCUCCAGCGCCGGGGUCCUGGGCCUACCUUAGGCCUCAGGGGCCCACCUGUGAGAUGGGCCACUCACUCCAACUCAGGGUCCCUGGGGGGCUGGGGAAACCCUCUCAGGAGGGGAAGGGCAGACAGCCAGCCCAGCGGAAGCAGGGGCCCCGGCCCCGGAGGCCGCCGCCCCCUGCCUGGUGCUCUCUGCUGCUCCCUCCUGGCCUGAGUGGCGGGGUUGGUGGAGGCUUUGGGCAGUGCUUACCAGAAUCAAAUGCCUGGGAGGGAGCGCACCGGUCAGCAGCCCCCACCCCAGGAACGUUGGCUCGUUGCUCAGCUGGGCCUUGGGAACCAGAGGGACGUGGGGGCAAGCUUGCCAUGCAGCUAGGACGGCACAGGACUGAAAUUCUGGGACAUCGCUGGGCAUGAGUCCCCAUGCUACUGUUGGGGAAACCGAGGCUCAGGGGAACGCUGGAUCGGGGGGCAUGAAGGGCCCACCACCCAGUGCGACCCAGCUGUGCGUGGCAGCCUGGAGCAUGUGGCCUGGGCUGGUGGUCACUUUGCUGCAGCUCUGCCAUCCUCUCGUCUUCCAUCUCACCCAGGGCCUUUGCACCUGCUCUUCCCUGAGUGGCCAUGUAACUCCCUCCUUCACUCAUUCAGGUUGUGGCUUCAGGUCACUUCCUUAGAAGCUCCUCCCCGGCCCUUGUGGCUAAGCCCCACCCCGACACGUGCGCAUGUGCGUGCGCGCACGCACACACACGCAUGUGCCCCCCCCACAGUGGCCCCAUCAACCCAGGCUGCAGGAUCCUGCAAGGGUCUGCGCGCUGUGGUUCUAACGCAUCAGCAUGAGGGGGUGUGGAGUAUUUACACGACUGCCUUCUCCACCUUCUCCCUGGGGAAGCUGGAGGUCCCCUGCCACAGGCCACCCUCAGAGCGAUGGUGACAAUCAUAGUUGGCAUAUGCUGGUCAGAGGUUCAUCUCUUGCUGGCCUGGAGGCUAAUGUCCUUUCUCCUUCUCACCAUCCUCCAUUUGCCAGCGGAGAUGCUGGGCUCAGAGAGGUUUCUGCAUCCUGGCCCACAGACGUGUGGCCAUGGAGAACAGGGUCAGCCACCCACUCUGUCACAGGCCAGGGAACAAACACGUUCAGCUUUGUGGCUGUAUGGACUCUCCCAACUGCUCAGCUCUGCCUGCUGUGUCUCCAGAGUAGCCACAGAUGGUGCUUAAAGGAAUGUGUGUGGCUGUGCUAACAAAACUUGAUGAAUGGACACCAAAAUGUGAAUUUCAUAUCAUUUUCAUGUGUCACAAAAUGAGGUGUUUUCUGAUUGUUUCGUCACUCACUUAAAAUGGAAACGUCAUUCUUGGCUGGAUGCCGUCCUCAUGCAGGCGAGCUUGUGGGCCAGUCUGCAGGGCCCUCAAGGCAGUGUCACU